This 240-nucleotide ribosomal RNA is filed under the name uncultured bacterium. RNAcentral describes it as "partial 16S ribosomal RNA". It matches the Rfam family "Bacterial small subunit ribosomal RNA", at positions 15 to 220 of the family's 1533-position model. The record is from RNAcentral.
GAUCAUGGCUCAGGAUGAACGCUGGCGGCAUGCCUAAGACAUGCAAGUCGAACGAGAUGGCCCAGUGAAGGUUGAGUGCUUGCACAAGACUGAAUCUGGAUUCCCAUCUAGUGGCAGACGGGUGAGUAACACGUGGGUGACCUACCUUUUCGUUGGGGAUAACAGUUGGAAACGAUUGCUAAUACCGAAUAAAAUGUAAGAGUCAAUUUUACAUUGAAAGGAGCCUUUAAAGCUUCGCGA